This 406-nucleotide ribosomal RNA is filed under the name uncultured bacterium. Its description in RNAcentral is "partial 16S ribosomal RNA". It matches the Rfam family "Bacterial small subunit ribosomal RNA", at positions 30 to 526 of the family's 1533-position model. The record is from RNAcentral.
AUUGAACGCUGGCGGCAGGCCUAACACAUGCAAGUCGAACGAGUGGCGGACGGGUGAGAAAUGUCUGGGAAACUGCCCGAUGGAGGGGGAUAACUACUGGAAACGGUAGCUAAUACCGCAUACCAUCUGAUGUGCCCAGAUGGGUUUAGCUAGUAGGUGGGGUAACGGCUCACCUAGGCGAGGAUACCUAGCUGGUCUGAGAGGAUGACCAGCCACACUGGAACUGAGACACGGUCCAGACUCUGACGGGGGGCAGCAGUGGGGAAUAUUGCACAAUGGGGGCAAUCCUGAUGCAGCCAUGCCGCGUGUAGGAAGAGGGCCUUCGGGUUGUAAGGUACUUUCAGCGAGGAGGCGUUACUCGCAGAGGAAGCACCGGCUAACUCCGUGCCAGCAGCCGCGGUAAUUC